GAGAUGUGCUGUUGUACACAGCUUCUGUGUGGAUGCUGGAGACAAGCUCAGGUACACUUCAUCCACUGAGCCUAGGUCCUCAUCUUGGCCUUCCUGCAUCUUCAUGCCUGUAGUACCUACCCGCCUAUACCCGUGAACCAGGUAAUCUCAGAGGAAGGUCCUGCUGUAAGCUGGAGGCCAAGAACACAGAGACAAAACAUGCUGUCAGAGACUUACCUAUACGUCUCCCUCCCUCCAAUGCCAGAGAACGAAGCUAGGCUUGUCACAUGCCAAGAAAAUGCUCUACCACUAAACUACAGCUCAGCCCUGGUUUGCCAUGUUCUGAACUUCCUCCUGUUACAACUACUUCAGUACACAGGACUUGCCACAACUUGCUUAUACAGGAACGGAUGAACAGCUACCAGGCCUGAGCAUCCAUUUGCUAGUGUCUAAUGAAGCUCUGCUCCCUGUUCAUCAUACUUCUGUGCUACAGACACAGCCAAGAGUAGAGCGAACAUCUGUUUACUACCUGUGCGGAAUGCGAGGCUGGCAUGUAAGAAAAUGAAAGUACAAGGAGUUGAAGUGGCUUGCUCAAGGCAGGAGUAACGUUAAAUCCAUACAGAAACUAUCCCCCUAGUCACCUGAUCUCCACUGCAAAGGGACUCAGUCGCUUCUGUAGCAAACUCAGACAAUUUUGAGUUUGAGACUAAAUUACCGCCCACCUUUCUAGACUUGUUCUGAAGAACUGAUGAAUUAUAAAAUCUAGUUUCCUUAUCCAUUUACAUGGUAUAGAUAACAUUAAUUUAGGACUCCUUUUUAAAAAUUAUUUUUUAAUUAUGUGUAUAUCUGUGUGCAGGCUAGUCUUAUGUCAAACACAAUAGACACACAAAAUUUUUGGCACACAAAAUAGAGUCAUCUGAGAAGAAGAACCUCAACUGAGAAAAUGCCUCCAAAAGAUUGUCUUAACUGGUGAUUCAUCAGUGGGGGAAGGUCCAGCACAUUGUGGGUGGUGCCAUCCCUGGGCUGUA
Long non-coding RNA from Arvicanthis niloticus (Nile rat), 1007 nucleotides. RefSeq lists it as uncharacterized. The record is from RefSeq and is a predicted model, not a curated record. Lineage: Eukaryota; Metazoa; Chordata; Mammalia; Rodentia; Muridae.